Cyprinus carpio carpio is the source of this 4033-nucleotide long non-coding RNA. The record is from Ensembl. NCBI's taxonomy places the organism in Eukaryota, Metazoa, Chordata, Actinopteri, Cypriniformes, Cyprinidae.
AUGAGAUUCCUGCGGUUCGAUAAAAAAGAAACCCGACGUGUGCGUCUGCAGGAUGACAGGUUUGCCCUGGUAUCGGCCACUUGGAACAAGUUUAUUCAGAACAGCGUAGCCUGUUACAAGCCCGGUGCCGACAUAACCAUAGAUGAGCAGCUGUUCCCCACCAAGGCCCGGUGCAGAUUUCUUCAGUACAUGGGGAAUAAGCCUGAUAAAUUUGGCAUCAAAUUUUGGCUGGCUGCUGAUGUCCAUUCGAAAUACAUGCUGAACGGGGUUCCGUUUCUGGGUAAAGAAGAGGCACGGAGCAGAGGUCAGCUCGUGGGAGAGAGUGUGGUGCUGAAACUGGCGGAGCCAUUCUUGGGAGAGUCGUUUACAUCCUUCCACUUCCAAUUCAGGAUUGGGGCUACAACAGUCUCAUUGAUUAUUAGUGAGACGUGUGAGGCCCUGCACCAGACCCUAAAGACUUCAAAAAUGGAAGAAGUUUGGAGGGAAAUUGCAGAGAACUUCCACAACAACCAUGGCCUCCUCAACAUUCCCUCCGCACGACCGCUUCCAGGCUCAGCAACUGAAGCUCCCUUUAUGUUUUUGGUAGAUGAUGCCUACCCUCUUUGUGGUGACCUCAUGAAGCCAAUCCCCGCCAAAUGGAUCAUGACCACCGAGUGUUCAACUAUAGACUCUCCCGAGCCUGUAAAGUGGUGGAGAAUUAAAUUUUUGCCAUUGUAUAAAGCAGUGGUUUUGUUCAACUAAGUAGUGAUGUAUUUGUGUUGAUUUAGAUGGAGAAUAUUAAUUAAUGGUGCCCACUGAUGGCUACAGUCGAUGCAUCAACUUUCUCCGUGCUGCUAACAACAGUCACAGCAGCACUGUCAUGGAUAUUUUCUUGGAUGCCAUUUCCAAAUAUGGAGUCCCUUCCAGGGUGAGGACUGACCAUGGAGGAGAGAACAAUAUAGUGUGCUUGUUCGUGAACUUGUUCAGAGGCACUGACCAGGGUAGAGCUCUUAGAGGAAGAGUCAGCGCUUUGAGAGACUCUGGAUGGAUCUAUGGCAUGGGGUGUCAAAUGUGUACAAUGACUGGUUUCAUUUUCUUGAGAGUGAAGGCAUUGUUAAUGUAGAUAAUGAAAUGCACAUGUGGUGUCUACAUCUCAAGAGUUAAUAAAAACUACCAAUUUUACACACCAGUGGUCCAAUCAUGGUUUUCGAACUGAGAGGCACCAGUUACCCCUGCAAAUCUUUUUCUGGGGUUGCCUGGCACAACAGAGGCUGCCAAGGACUGCAGUGCAGGAGAUAUUUGCAAGAAAAUCAUACUCCAGUGAAGGAAUGACUGGUCCAGCAGAACAAGUUGGUGGUGGGGGUCAUUCUGUAUCAAGAGUAGUACCUCAUGUGCAUUGGCCUGAAAGAGUCACUUUACCUCCAAACCAGUACACUAUGACUGAUAACCUCUAACCUCUGCAGGACAGCGGCCCUCCAGGAACAAAGUUGACUAGUCCUGGUUUAUUCCAUAAAAAGAUAUUAAUAAUAAAAUUGACUACAAUUGCUUUCAUAUAUACUUGGAUAUGUUUUUUUUUUGUGUGUGUGUGUGUCAUAUACAUGUUAUUUUACUGAUAGAAGCCCAGGGAUAACAAAUCAAAUAUGUAGUGUCAUCAAUAAACAACUGUUUUAUGUGAAAUCAGACAUCUGAGCUCCCCCAUAGUCAAAAUGGCAUGAUCAUAACACCCCGUGAAUAUUCGACUGUGAGAUUGGUAGUCGAAUCAGGCUCCUCGAAUCGAAGCAUCGAAUCGUCGACUAUCCGGGGUCACCCUAGUGUAGUAUAAUCUAAAUAUAUCAAAGAGCAGUAUUAAACAUGUAUAUUAAAACUGUUCAUAGCUCUGAUGGAUCAGGGGGCUCAAAACAAUGCUGCAGGUAUUUGCUUUGGGGAAGAUUCUGGUGGCCUCAUUCUCUUGAAGGUGCAGAAACUCUAGUUUGGGUUUCAAUGAGAAUACUAGUUAUAUCUAUAGUUAUAUAGAUUUGAGAUGAAGAGGGUGAGUAAAUGUGACAACAAAAUCUUAGGGUAAAAUAACACUAUCUAUCUAUCUAUCUGACAGGAAGUAUAACUAAUUUUUACUUUGAGUGCAAUAUUUACUUAAAACGAGGGAACAAAUUAGUAAAUCGAAUGCACAAUUUAAUGUUUUCUUCCUACAUGUCAUGUGCAGGGCUCUGGAAUUGCAGGCAAGAGUUUUCUGCCAGUCUUCUCCGUCAAAAAUAUUUCACACGAGUGGAUUCUCGUAUAAAACCACCUUCCUUAGAUGCCCCCUCGCCAAUUCCAUCAGCAUCUCUAAACACAUGGUCCAGUUUUGCCUCAGGUUUAAAUCAUUGACUCUAAUACUUUUUUCCCAGCAUAUUCAAUCUUGUGGUGUUAAUUUGGUUGGAAGCAAGUGCAAAUGUAAAAUGCACUUUUCUUAGCAUUGUAGUUAAUACUGAUUUGAGGUAAACACUGAAACAAUAUAAACAAAAUGCUAGUUUGUCUUUUGUUGUCACCAUUAAAGCGUGUCAAUCAACAAUAUAUUAAAUCACUCACCCAUCUUCAUCCAAAAUAUAAAUAUCUAUGAUUGGAACAGGUGGUUUAACUGAUUUAUACGUCACAUGUAAAGGAAGCAAUAAAAUAAUGUGAUGCUACCUACAUAUAUCUAAUGAAGAAUGAAAUGCACCAUUUCCUGUAUGUGAAGGAGUGAUCUUCCUAGUUGUCCACUAGCAAGUCAUUUACAGUGUUUUGGAACUGUACAACUAAUCCUCUGCUAUCCAUCUUUGGUACUCUGAGUUUCCGUAGAGUACUCAAACCUGGUAGAGGGAGGGCUAUGUAAAAUAAAUGUGCAUUUUGAAUUAACUUAAUGUUGAUGGGUGUGUGGUGGUAUUAUGACAUGUAGUGACAUGUGACAUUAACUUAUCGCUGGCACAUAUUUAACGUCUUGUGGCAUAUUGAAAAUUAUGUUUUAACGUUAAUACAGUGGUCAAACACACACAAAUACUCACCCAUUUAAUGUUCGAUACAAAGAACAAGUUUUAUUCCGUUAUUAUGUCACUAGAUGAAUGCACUCUGGGCAAAUAGGCCCUGUUGAGAAAUGCUAAACUACAUAGAUGGCUUGCUACUGCUAUAUAGGCAUGAUAACAUAAUCACUGCUUAGUGUGUGUGUCAGUGUUUAUAUGUUUGUAUGUAUGAGUCAUUGUAUAAAAUGGGUGCCAUUUCCCGCAAUUUUCUAAAUUUUCAUUAAGAACAAACCUUUUUUUUAAUUCUGCAACUUGGAAGAUAUGUUAGGGUGUAUUCACACCUGUCUUGCUUGGUUUGACUGAAUCGAACUUGAGUUCGUUUCCACUCUUGGUGUUGAUCUUUUGGGCAGGUGUGAAUACAACAAUCGCACUUGGGUGCGCACCAAACAACCGUACCGAGACCCAGCUGAAGAGGUGUUCUCAGUCCGCUUCCAAACGAACUCUGGUACGGUUCGUUUAAAGUGUGAAAAUGACCCCAACCUUGAUCUGACCCAAUUGCAGAAAUCACACUCUGAAACAGACAGCUUGCACGUGUAGUGCUGUUGUUUGCGUUUCAAUGGCUUAAAGGGUUACUCCACCCCAAAAUGAAAAUUUUGUCAUUAAUUACUUACCCCCAUUUCAUUCCAAACCCAUAAAAACUUUGUUCGUCUUUGGAACAGUUUAAGAUAUUUUUGAUGAAAAUCGGGAGGCUUGAGACUGUCCCAUAGACUGCCAAAUAAUUAACAGUGUCAAGGUCCAGGAAAGUAUGAAAGACUAGACCAUCUGUCAUCAGUGGUUCAUCUGAAUUUUAUGAAGUGUCAAGAAUACUUUUUGUACGCAAAAAAAUAAAAAUGAUGACUUUAUUCAACAAUUCGUCUCCUCUGCAUCAUUAGCGCCAUUUUGGAGAAUAUCCACUGAACGCAAACUUUGUAUGCUGUUCUGUGUCAGCCACACCACACGGAUGUGCUGUUGUUGUUCAAAUCAAAGCAUAAAUAAACGUAGAAAACGUAUCCGUGUGGUGUGGCUGACACAUUUUUCACAAC